CCUACGGGAGGCAGCAGUGGGGAAUAUUGCACAAUGGGGGAAACCCUGAUGCAGCGACGCCGCGUGAGCGAAGAAGUAUUUCGGUAGGUAAAGCUCUAUCAGCAGGGAAGAAAAUGACGGUACCUGAGUAAGAAGCUCCGGCUAAAUACGUGCCAGCAGCCGCGGUAAUACGUAUGGAGCAAGCGUUAUCCGGAUUUACUGGGGGUAAAGGGAGCGCAGGUGGCCUUGCAAGUCUGAUGUGAAAUACCGGGGCUCAACCCCGGAGCUGCAUUGGAAACUGGGAGGCUGGAGUGUCGGAGAGGCAGGCGGAAUUCCUAGGGUAGGGGUGAAAUGCGUAGAUAUUAGGAGGAACACCAGUGGCGAAGGCGGCCUGCUGGACGAUGACUGACGCUGAGGCUCGAAAGCGUGGGGAGCAAACAGGAUUAGAUACCCCGGUAGUC
RNAcentral lists this ribosomal RNA (440 nucleotides) under uncultured bacterium. RNAcentral describes it as "partial 16S ribosomal RNA". It matches the Rfam family "Bacterial small subunit ribosomal RNA", at positions 338 to 795 of the family's 1533-position model. The record is from RNAcentral.